This 1214-nucleotide long non-coding RNA is filed under the name Homo sapiens (human). Its description in RNAcentral is "HSALNT0329849". The stretch from base 1 to 66 matches the Rfam family "Vault RNA", at positions 24 to 99 of the family's 99-position model. The record is from RNAcentral. Lineage: Eukaryota; Metazoa; Chordata; Mammalia; Primates; Hominidae.
ACUUCGAGUACAUUGUAACCACCUCUCUGGGUGGUUCGAGACCCGCGGGUGCUUUCCAGCUCUUUUACUGCUGAAGUUCAGCUCCUUUUCCAUGGGGAACCAUGGAGAAAUGGCUGAUUUUAGCACUGGGCAGGAAAUACAGAGAUGGACAGGGUGCAUCUCACAGUGCUAGAAAGGUCUAUCUCUCUCUCCGAGACUGGAGUGCAGUGGCGCCGUCUCAGCUCACUGGAACCUCUGCCUCAAGCAAUCCUCCUGCCUCAGCUUCCUCCUGAGUAGCUGGGACCACAGGUACUAACCAGGCCUGACCCUACUUAGCUUCCAAGAUCAGAGGAGACCGGGCACGUUCAAGAUGACUUGGAACUGAAGAAGCUGGCAAUCUGGAAAUGCCAAUGGACGCAGAUUUUAAAAGCCCCAGCAAAAGUCUGCUUUCUCUAUUCAUAGGACCAGGAUCAGGAAGAGGACAGCUUAGAAAGACAUAAAAUUCUUAGACAAUAACUGUUCUACCCCAGCCAAACACCAAACACACACACACACACACACACACACACACUCCAACAACUAUGGCCCCACCCACUUCAGCAAAGGCUGAGUAGGAGCCUAAACUUCCACCACUGAGCGGCUAUAAGAAGUUACCCCAAGACCCCACCAACGUGGUGUUAAAGAAGGCCAAAUAGGGGACAAAAUUUUUAUCCAUGCUGACCAGUUAUGAGGUUCCCUUUUUCCCUCUGUGAAAUAAAAAUAAAGCCCGUAGGUCCCCAGGCAAGAUGAAAUGGACUCCUUGUUGCAAAAGAGACCCCAGAAAACUUUAAAAGCUGGAUUCUAUGGCUUUGGCAAGGUAAGAGUUCGGUCACACCUCAAAACUCCCCUACCUCAUUAACUGCUUCAAGACUUUCUUUCCUACAGUUAAACGCCUGGGACUACAGUCAUGUGCCACCAUCCUAGGCUAAUUUUUUUUUAAAGGUUUUUGUAGAGAUGAGGUCUCAGUAUAUUGCCCAGGCUGGUCUCAAACUCUUGGGCUUAAGCAAUUCUCCAUCUCGGCCUCCCAGAGUGCUGGAAUUACAGGCGUGAGCCACUGCACCAAGUCAGAAAACUGAGUUUUAAGAAGAUUAAUAUUUUUAUGUUUAUGUAGCUUUCUGUAUUACUUUUAAAGUCUUUUGAUUGUCACUUCGGUUAAAUGAAUAUUAUUUUACAAUGACCCGUGAUCCUGUUUUGAU